GACCAGACUCCUACGGGAGGCAGCAGUGGGGAAUAUUGCACAAUGGGGGGAACCCUGAUGCAGCGACGCCGCGUGGGUGAAGGAGCACCUCGGUGCGUAAAGCCCUAUCGGCAGGGAAGAAACAGACGGUACCUGACUAAGAAGCCCCGGCUAACUACGUGCCAGCAGCCGCGGUAAUACGUAGGGGGCAAGCGUUAUCCGGAUUUACUGGGUGUAAAGGGAGCGUAGACGGCAAUGCAAGCCAGAUGUGAAAGCCCGGGGCUCAACCCCGGGACUGCAUUUGGAACUGUGUAGCUGGAGUGUCGGAGAGGCAGGCGGAAUUCCUAGUGUAGCGGUGAAAUGCGUAGAUAUUAGGAGGAACACCAGUGGCGAAGGCGGCCUGCUGGACGAUGACUGACGUUGAGGCUCGAAAGCGUGGGGAGCAAACAGGAUUAGAUACCCCCGUA
RNAcentral lists this ribosomal RNA (446 nucleotides) under uncultured bacterium. RNAcentral's name for it is "partial 16S ribosomal RNA". It matches the Rfam family "Bacterial small subunit ribosomal RNA", at positions 329 to 792 of the family's 1533-position model. The record is from RNAcentral.